This 435-nucleotide unclassified non-coding RNA is filed under the name Hevea brasiliensis (rubber tree). The record is from RNAcentral. Lineage: Eukaryota; Viridiplantae; Streptophyta; Magnoliopsida; Malpighiales; Euphorbiaceae.
UAUCGCACUACCAUGCUCAAACAAAUUGUAACGACCUGUUUAGUCGGUUCGAGCAGUAGAACUAUUUUUGAUAAAAACUGACUAGGUCGAUGGAUCACGCGACGGACCGUCAUGGUCGCGACGGACCGUGAUGGACUCCGUCGUCCCAUACUUGUGUAAUUCCUUCUGUUUCUCUCCUCAUUACCUUUGACGACAGGUAGGACGAGCCGUCAUAGGCACGACGGUCCGUCAAGGGCCUUCGUUCCAAAACACUUCAACUCUGAAAUUUGGGUACUGGGAUAGACUCUCUGAACUUUGUGACGGGCAUGCAGGACAGACCGUCGUAGAUACGACGGACCGUCACAAGCUUCACUUCUGAAUUUAACUCUCUGAACUUUGUGACGGACCUGCAGCACGGACCGUCGUAGACACGGCGGACCGUCACAAGCUGCUUAA